CAGUCGCCGCGGUAAUACAGAGGGUGCGAGCGUUAAUCGGAUUUACUGGGCGUAAAGCGCACGCAGGCGGUCUGUCAAGUCAGAUGUGAAAUCCCCGGGCUUAACCUGGGAACUGCAUUUGAAACUGGCAGGCUAGAGUCUUGUAGAGGGGGGUAGAAUUCCAGGUGUAGCGGUGAAAUGCGUAGAGAUCUGGAGGAAUACCGGUGGCGAAGGCGGCCCCCUGGACAAAGACUGACGCUCAGGUGCGAAAGCGUGGGGAGCAAACAGGAUUAGAUACCCCAGUAGUCCCUGUCUCUUAUAC
RNAcentral lists this ribosomal RNA (301 nucleotides) under uncultured bacterium. Its description in RNAcentral is "partial 16S ribosomal RNA". It matches the Rfam family "Bacterial small subunit ribosomal RNA", at positions 509 to 807 of the family's 1533-position model. The record is from RNAcentral.